UGGGGAAUAUUGGACAAUGGGCGCAAGCCUGAUCCAGCCAUGCCGCGUGAGUGAUGAAGGCCCUAGGGUUGUAAAGCUCUUUCACCGGUGAAGAUAAUGACGGUAACCGGAGAAGAAGCCCCGGCUAACUUCGUGCCAGCAGCCGCGGUAAUACGAAGGGGGCUAGCGUUGUUCGGAUUUACUGGGCGUAAAGCGCACGUAGGCGGACUUUUAAGUCAGGGGUGAAAUCCCGGGGCUCAACCCCGGAACUGCCUUUGAUACUGGAAGUCUUGAGUAUGGUAGAGGUGAGUGGAAUUCCGAGUGUAGAGGUGAAAGUCGUAGAUAUUCGGAGGAACACCAGUGGCGAAGGCGGCUCACUGGACCAUUACUGACGCUGAGGUGCGAAAGCGUGGGGAGCAAACAGG
RNAcentral lists this ribosomal RNA (404 nucleotides) under Pseudomonas sp. RNAcentral's name for it is "partial 16S ribosomal RNA". It matches the Rfam family "Bacterial small subunit ribosomal RNA", at positions 355 to 776 of the family's 1533-position model. Lineage: Bacteria; Pseudomonadati; Pseudomonadota; Gammaproteobacteria; Pseudomonadales; Pseudomonadaceae. RNAcentral also lists the same sequence under 4 other names. The record is from RNAcentral.